This 70-nucleotide transfer RNA is filed under the name Microbacterium phage YuuY. RNAcentral's name for it is "tRNA-Ala". It matches the Rfam family "tRNA". From Rfam's summary of the family: Transfer RNA (tRNA) molecules are approximately 80 nucleotides in length. Their secondary structure includes four short double-helical elements and three loops (D, anti-codon, and T loops). Lineage: Duplodnaviria; Heunggongvirae; Uroviricota; Caudoviricetes. The record is from RNAcentral.
GGACCAAUAGCUCAAGUAGAGCCCAGUCAUCGCAUGGCUGGAGAUCCAGGUUCAAGUCCUGGUCGGUCCA